Long non-coding RNA from Hemicordylus capensis (graceful crag lizard), 1129 nucleotides. RefSeq lists it as uncharacterized. The transcript is spliced from 3 exons. The record is from RefSeq and is a predicted model, not a curated record. Lineage: Eukaryota; Metazoa; Chordata; Lepidosauria; Squamata; Cordylidae.
CACCGGCAUCCACUCCUGAAAUUCUCAUUCGCUUAUAGAGACAAUACCAUUAGAUUAUUAUAUUUUUCUUUUUGGAAUAGCAAUAGCUGCUCAAUGUAAUUAUGCAACUAAGCAUUUCCAUUAAGCGAAUAAGACUUUAAAGAAGAUUAACUGGAGCUUCUCCUGCUUCCGAUAUAAAGGCAGACCUAAGACAGUGGAUUCCCGACCCGUUAGAACUCUGCAAGUGAUCGUACACUGCUUUUAAAGCAGGAAGUCCUUAACAGAAAUGUAACACUUUUGCUUUCUGUAUAGUCUACAGAAGAAUGCAGUCAGAAUCAGAAAUGAAGAAUUCUGGAAGUGAAAUGCUGCUAGGAAUUACUUGCACGAAAGAAAUUUUUUUGUAUUCUUUGAUAUACACUGUUUCCCUAUUUCUGCGUUCCCUUCCGCACCAACUUAUUCACUUCCAGAAGACUGGUUAGAUUUGUUUCAGCCUUCAAUUGUCUCUGUAAAUCCCAUUAUGAGCAAAAAAGAAGAAGGACUCUGGCCAUGAUGUUCAAGGGCAUUCUUAGAUUGAGGAAACACAGGCAUCCCAGGAUCGUCUUAGCUGUGUGAAAAGCUGAACUGCGCUGAUGGUGUCUGUUCUGUGUGGGCAAGGAGGACGGACGCAUGGAAAGGCUCCUGUCUGGAAUGAAGGUUGUCAGCACCAAUUGGUCCCCCCAGGCAGAAUUAGAUAAGAUGCAGCUGUAUCUGUCCCAGUUGCCUAGUUCCCUUUUGGCAUAAAACCGCACAGGCAGCCAGCUCAGUGAACCCACCAGGUUGGAAGGUGUAUAUAAUGAGGCUAAAACAUAAGGCGAAGAAAUAAAUAAACACAAACACUGUUUAGCUUGCCAUCUUUUAGGGCAGUGGACAUUUUGUAGCAGAGAAGACCCUUUGUGAGGAAUGGACCAAUCACCAGCACUUUGGUCCAUUGUGAAAGCAAAGCAGAGGGGAGUUUUUGCUCCCUUCUCUUUGGGGACCGCCGAUAAUGUUUUUCCUGUUAUAUAAAAAAAAAAGUUUACAUGCUGCAGAAGGGAAAGUGUGGGCUUUUGUUAUUAAUGUUGUAGAAAUACAAAUAUGUCCACCUAAGAAAAGGAGUCUUCAUUAACUCCCA